RNAcentral lists this ribosomal RNA (433 nucleotides) under uncultured bacterium. RNAcentral describes it as "partial 16S ribosomal RNA". It matches the Rfam family "Bacterial small subunit ribosomal RNA", at positions 29 to 507 of the family's 1533-position model. The record is from RNAcentral.
AACGAACGCUGGCGGCAUGCCUAACACAUGCAAGUCGAACGAGACCUCCGGGUCUAGUGGCGCAUGGGUGCGUAACGCGUGGGAACCUGCCCUUAGGCACGGGAUACCACUCCUAAAUGGGUGCUAAUAUCGGAUAAUGUCUUCGGAUCAAAGAUUUAUCGUCCUUGGAUGGGCACGCGUUGGAUUAGCUUGUUGGUAGUGUAAAAGCCUACCAAGGAGAAGCUCCAUAGCUGGUCUGAGAGGAAGAUCAGCCACACUGGGUCUGAGACACGGCCCGGACUCCUACGGGAGGGAGCAGUGGGGAAUAUUGGACUAUGGGGGAAAGGCUGAAGCAGCUAGGCUGCGUGAGUGAUGAAGGCCUGAGGGAAGUAAAGCUCUUUUACCCGGGAUGAUAAUGACAGUACCGGGAGAAUAAGCUCCGGCUAACUCCGUG